Molecule: unclassified non-coding RNA, 336 nt
Filed under: soil metagenome
Description: partial contains 5.8S ribosomal RNA, internal transcribed spacer 2, and large subunit ribosomal RNA
Rfam family: 5.8S ribosomal RNA (bases 5-121)
Source: RNAcentral
GAUGGAAGAACGCAGCGAAAUGCGAUAAGUAAUGUGAAUUGCAGAAUUCAGUGAAUCAUCGAAUCUUUGAACGCACAUUGCGCCCAUUAGUAUUCUAGUGGGCAUGCCUGUUCGAGCGUCAUUUCAACCCUUAAGCCUAGCUUAGUAUUGGGAAUCGACUUUACUGUCGUUCCUCAAAUUCAACGGCGGAUUUAUAGCAAUCUCUGAACGUAGUAAUAUUUUUCCUCGUUUUUGAAAUACUAUAAACCUCAGCCGCUAAACCCCCAAUUUUUCUAUGGUUGACCUCGGAUCAGGUAGGAAUACCCGCUGAACUUAAGCAUAUCAAUAAGCGGAGGA